RNAcentral lists this ribosomal RNA (253 nucleotides) under uncultured bacterium. RNAcentral's name for it is "partial 16S ribosomal RNA". It matches the Rfam family "Bacterial small subunit ribosomal RNA", at positions 524 to 776 of the family's 1533-position model. The record is from RNAcentral.
UACGGGGGGGGCAAGCGUUGUUCGGAAUUACUGGGCGUAAAGGGCUCGUAGGCGGCCAACUAAGUCAGACGUGAAAUCCCUCGGCUUAACCGGGGAACUGCGUCUGAUACUGGAUGGCUUGAGGUUGGGAGAGGGAUGCGGAAUUCCAGGUGUAGCGGUGAAAUGCGUAGAUAUCUGGAGGAACACCGGUGGCGAAGGCGGCAUCCUGGGCCAAUUCUGACGCUGAGGAGCGAAAGCCAGGGGAGCAAACGGG